GACGAACGCUGGCGGCGUGCUUAACACAUGCAAGUCGAACGGAAAGGCCCUGCUUUUGUGGGGUGCUCGAGUGGCGAACGGGUGAGUAACACGUGAGUAACCUGCCCUUGACUUUGGGAUAACUUCAGGAAACUGGGUCUAAUACCGGAUAGGAGCUCCUGCUGCAUGGUGGGGGUUGGACAGUUUCGGCGGUUGGGGAUGGACUCGCGGCUUAUCAGCUUGUUGGUGGGGUAGUGGCUUACCAAGGCUUUGACGGGUAGCCGGCCUGAGAGGGUGACCGGCCACAUUGGGACUGAGAUACGGCCCAGACUCCUACGGGAGGCAGCAGUGGGGAAUAUUGCACAAUGGGCGGAAGCCUGAUGCAGCAACGCCGCGUGCGGGAUGACGGCCUUCGGGUUGUAAACCGCUUUCGCCUGUGACGAAGCGUGAGUGACGGUAAUGGGUAAAGAAGCACCGGCUAACUACGUG
This 468-nucleotide ribosomal RNA is filed under the name uncultured bacterium. RNAcentral describes it as "partial 16S ribosomal RNA". It matches the Rfam family "Bacterial small subunit ribosomal RNA", at positions 28 to 507 of the family's 1533-position model. The record is from RNAcentral.